Non-coding RNA from Paramuricea clavata, 672 nucleotides. Lineage: Eukaryota; Metazoa; Cnidaria; Anthozoa; Malacalcyonacea; Plexauridae. The record is from the annotation of a GenBank genome assembly.
GGAUUAACCCUGGAAUUUCCAGGGAAGGAGGCAUUCAGGAUCUGGAAUUCCAAGGGGAGGAGUAAUUCUCACAUGGAAUUUCCAGAGGGAGGGGUAAAUUUCAUGGGAUGGAAAUUCCAUGGGAGGACAUAUGUUAGAGGGAAAUUUCCGGGAGUAAAUGUCCCAUGAUGGAAAUUCGAUAGGGAAAGGUAAUUUACACAUGGAAAUUCCAUGGACAGGGCCAAAUUUUAAAUGGAAAUUCCAUGGGGAAGGCCUAAUUUAAAAUGGAAAUUCCAUGGGCAAGGGUAAUUUUUACAAGGAAAUUCCAUGGGAAGGGGUAAAUUUUACAUGAAAAUUUGCAGAAAUUCCAGGGGAGUACCGACAUGAGAAAGGGGUUCCUCAACAGGGGGGUGUGGAUAAUAAUUGGAAUAGCCCAAUACAAGCAUGGGUUAUAUAGAUAUUAUCCUGAUCUGCAUGUUACACUGAACCAGAUUAACUUAAGGGGUCGAUUAUAUGGAGGCGAUGGAGCGAUUUCGGCCCGGUUUGAGUUUCAGCCCGGCUACCCGGGGCGAAAUUUCAGCACGAUACGAUUAACCCCAAUAAAAUCCAGCACGCUAUUACAUGGGAAGAGCAUCCUAAAAUGAGUAAAAUUGCAAAUUUUGGUUGCGAAAUGUAGUAAAACAAGGAAAAUAU